RNAcentral lists this long non-coding RNA (5131 nucleotides) under Sus scrofa (pig). RNAcentral describes it as "lncRNA (ENSSSCG00000061869.1)". The record is from RNAcentral. Lineage: Eukaryota; Metazoa; Chordata; Mammalia; Artiodactyla; Suidae.
UACUGCGGCGGCAGGAGGCGCAGCUGCCGGGGUUUGAGGUGACAAAACUGAGGCUUUGAGAAGUCCAAGAGAAUGCUUCUACUAAAUGGGAGCGGGAGCAGUCAAUUCAGGUAUAUGAUUUUUCAACUUCCCGUUCUGCCGAGGCUGCUGUACAUGGGAGCCCUGGGCCUCAAGCAUCAUCACAAGCCUCUUGGGAGUGUGUUGCCUGCUGCUGAGGAAAAAGAGUCGCUCAAGGCAAGAAGACCCAGAGCCAGCAAGACUGAAACAAAAAGCAAAGGAGUAGUGGCAGCUGUGACUGACUAAUUGAGUUGCAUCGAACUCUAUCACUUCUGAAAUUCUCAAAUCUCAUCUUUCAUCUGCCUGAGCAUAGGACCUGGCAGCAUCUAGCGGCGUGAUCCAGAGCCUGGUGGAGAGCUGGGAAGCUUGCAGCUCCUCUAAUUCUUACUGCUAUAAACCAAAGCUUUUAUUAAAUCCUUACAAGACAGAAUACAAAAUCCCGGCAUUGAAAGUUGGUGCUGGGGCCGCCCCCUUUGAGAAGCUGCUGCUCGUCAGCUGGGUCCCUGCUGCCCUGCAGGAAGCCAGGUGGCUGUGGCCUUGGCGUCCCUGGGCCCUGGUCGCCGCCGCCGCCAGCUCUGUCCGCACUGCUCCUCCUGCAAGCGGCAGGCCCGGGAAGGAAGAGUUAACCAGAAAUGGAGCGGCGCUGCUCCGGGGCAGGCAGCCUCGCCGCAGAACAGAGCAGCGUUCGUGCAAAGAGCCCUGGCCCUGCAUGAUCCCUGUGCCAUCGAGCAGACAGCAUCUCCCUGAGGUGAUUGGAUCAACUGCUUCGUGUCAGUGUCACCCAUGCUUGCUUCGGAGUUUCAAGGCCUUGAUCCUGGGAAAGGAAGUCGAGAAGGUGAUGAGGAGUCCAACCGCUCAUACCUGGACUCUGGGCCCAUCCCAUGCUACCUUGUGCAUCUCCUUUGCCAAGAUGCCCCUCUGCUGCCUGCCCAGGACACAAGUGGGUUACAGACUGACUUCAAGGUGGGUCCAGGUCAGGCCUCAGGCUCCAACCCUUCCCUGCCACAUCCACAGGGCUGAGGCUCUGGGCCUGGGACUCAGGACCUACAGUUUCCUUUUUGACUCUGUCCCGGGGAUGCACAUGUGGAUUAAAUUAGAGCAAUAUGUUUUUCUAACAGCAUCUUGGCUAAAAACCCAAGCAGAUAAAUGGAAACAAACCCAGCUUUAUGUGAAUGAAAAGGGGCUGAGGGGGGAGCCACUUCUGCCUGAAGCAUCGCAGCCACACAGCCGGCAGGGCUGCCCCCCCGCCCCCCUCCUCCCCCGGCCCCCGUCCAGCCUUGACCCCGGAAGCCCUCACCACGGGGCACCUUCUGCCGCCCAGCCCCCUCACCAGGCCCCUGCUCUGGCUGAACCGGCUUCCUGGCUUCCUGGCCCUCUCCAAACCCGCUCUGUGCCUCCCCAGCCCUUGGUGGUGGCUGUGCCCUCUGUGCAGGAUCCUCUCUCAAGUCCGCCUGGCGCUGUGGUGAAGGGUACACAUUCCAGAGUCACGUGGGCAGGUGGCUUACCUGGCUUAUGGUCAGUUUCCUCACCUGUGAGUGGGGAUGUUCACCCCCCCCCAACCCCACAGAGCUCAGGGAAGACUGAGGAAAUGAUGCUCUUAGCACGGCACCUGGGACACAGCUAACAUUUGCUGUGUGUCAUUGUCAUUAUCAUCAUCUUAUUAUUGUUAUUCUUCUUAUUGCUACCACCUCUCCAAUUCACCUGGCCUCUGUCUUUGCCCCACUGAUCACCUCCUUUAGAGGGGUCCUUUCCUCCCUACAGAAUUCCUUCUGCACCUCCCACUGAUGGUUUCUAGAAGGCAGGGGGCCCUCAGGGCAGGGGCCUCAUCAGGGUAGCAGCAGAGGUGAAGAGGGCGGGUAUUUGGGUAACAUUUGUUGGUAGAUGGGUUUGUGAUCAUGGGCUUUGUUGUUGGUUUUAAUGAGAGGGCAGAGUUGGCCAAGCUCUCCCACAAAGUCUGCCUGUAGCCAUCACUCCUAGGCCUGCUUAUAGGUCUUUCCUGGGGAGCUGGUCCCAGGGGCUCCCUGGGGAAACAGGUGGUAACUUCACACUACCUCAGGGACGGAUUAGUCCCCGGAUGAUGCAUGAGUCCAGGAGUAGUGUUUCGUAUUAUUUGAAGCCACUCUGUUUUGCAGAUGCUUUCAGGGCCUUUCACUGAAGGAGCCCCUCUGAGCAUGAGAGCAUUACUAAAAUCCUUGCUCCUCCACGGCCUUCUCCCCCACCCCCACUGGCUGCUUCCCCACCAGAAAGCCCCACUCACUUGGCAUCCCCCAACUGAGGUCUUUAAGAGGGAAGGGAAGGGGGCACACCUGGUCCCAAUGCUGAGGCACUUAGAUGAGUUCCAGGUGAGGCAAGGGUUCGGUAACUCUCAAGUGCCUGAUGUUACCUACAAAAGCCAACCCCUCCUCUCCUCCUGGCUCAGCGCUCUGCCUCUGCACUUCUCUUGCGGACACGCCAUGCUCUCCUGGAAGGCAGAGGCUGCAUCCAACUCCCCAUUAUCAUCCUCCCAAGACCUAGAACACGGUAGGUGCUGCGUACAUAGAUGCUGUGAAUGAAUGAGAAGGAGACAGGGAGUGUGAAGUAAUAGGAAAUUCACACUGGUGUCUGCCUUUGGUUCCUGGUGGGGGCUCCUGAAAAAUCCUGGUCAUUUCCUGGAUAAUAAGAGGGCCUUUUGUUUGGAGUUUCUUGGUGGCUCAGUGGGUUGGGGAUCCAGCAUGCGUGGUCGCUGCUCUGGCUCAGGUUCGAUCCCUAGCUGGGGAAAUUCUGUGUGCCGCGGGUAUAGCCGGGGGGGAAAAAAAAAAAGUGUCUUGUUGGAAUGAGGUGACUCUGGGGGGCUCCAGGAUGGUGCUGGUCCCUGGAAGGACCAAGCCAUGUUUAGAAGCUUGGAAUUUUCAACCCUGCUUGUGAUUCUCUUGAAAAGGAAGAAGGGCUGAAAAUGGAGUUAAUGAUCAUGCCAAUGUGAUGACGCCUCCUUAAAAAUCCCAAAAGUGCAGGGUUCAGAGACCUUUCAGGUUGGUGAACAUAUCCCCAUACUGGGAGGGUGAACCAACCUAACUCCAUGGGGACAAAAGCUCCUGAGCCUCCCAGAGCCCUACAUAUGCCUGUUGAUCUAUAUCAUGUCCUUUUAUAACCUGGUAGAUGGAGGGACCUGUUUUCCUGAGUUCUGUGAGCUGCACUAGCAAAUUAAUCAAACUCAAGGAGGGGCUCCUGGGCACCUCUGGUUUAUCGCUGAUGGGUCGGACGCGCAGGUGGCAACCAGGUCUUGUAACUAGCAUCUGAAGUGGGGUGGAGGGCGAAGCCACUGGGAUCUGCUGGUAGCUUCAGGUGGAUGGGGCAGAACUGAGGUAAACUGUAGGCCGUCCAGCUGGUGUUGCAGAACUGCUCGGUGUGGGAACUCUUCCCCCCCAUCUGGUGCCCAGAAGUGUUAGAAGUGGGGUGUGCUGUGUGAAAGGAAAGGAAAAAGACAGAAGAAGAGGAAGGAGCGAAUUUUCUUCCUGAUACGCACACAGAGGAGGAGGGCUAAGAAAAUGGCCAUGCAGAGUUCCUGUCAUGGCUCAGUGGUUAACGAACCCCGCUAGUAUCUCUGAGGACGCGGGUUCGAUCCCUGGCCUUGCUCGGUGGGUUAAGGAUCCGCUGUUGCUGUGAGCAGCUGUGGUGUAGGUUGCAGAUGCGGCUCGUAUCUGGCGUUGCUGGGGCUGUGGUGUAGGCGAGCAGCUGCAGCUCUGAUUGGGCCCCUAGUCUGGGAACCUCCAUAUGCCGUGGGUGCGACCCAAAAAAGAAAGAAAGAAAAUGGCAAUGCAGGUUUUUUCACCUUUAGGAUGUGUCACAGGAAGCUGGUUGAGUGAAAGAAAACGAGGGCCCUUGAUACCCCUCUGGGCAGUGAUCUUCACCAAGGGUGGCCCAUAGGGAAUAAACACCUUCUCUCACUCCAGUCUUGAGCUGGAGAAACCCCUGGGGGCUGGACCCGACUAGAAGCCAGAGACAAAGGAGCCCAUUGAUGUGGUCCUCACGGGCCAGCCUUGAGGGCAGAGAGGCAGGUGAAGAAGCAUCUGGAAGGGCAGAAGGAGUGUGCGAGGCUCUCCUGGGAAGCAGGGAUGUGGCCGCCGUGCCUCAGCACUGUUCUCUGAUGGGGACAAAAAGGGCUUUUCCUCAGCUUUGCGCAUCCUCUCCAGCUCAGAUUCCCACGCUUUUUCAAUUCCCCACAGAAGACGGUGCUCGAAGGUAAACCUCUGACCUCCCACCUUCCCACACCCCAGUCUGAAACAGGGGAUCAGAAGUCACAAGCUUAAAAUCACAGCCGGGCUUUCUCCCCAAGCUGGUUUGGGAUUAUCGAGGUCAGAGUGCAUGGGAAGGAAAAAAAGCAGAUUCCUCCCUUUUAGGAAAAUAGUUUACAGUCGAAGCUACUCUUAUCUGCAUGCUCUUUUUGGUGACAAAGGGCGGAUGGAAAAUCAGGGAGUCGUUUUCUUUCUUUUCUUUUACAUUUUUUUUUUCUUCUGAUUUGAUGCUGGUGUCUUAAGACUCUGAGUUUAUAUUAAACAUGUGAAAGUGCCAAACCUCAAAGCGAAUCCGUGGAGCCAAAGUAAGUGGAAUGGUAGCGGAGAAGAAAAACGAAGGCGAGGUUGUGAUGUGGCGGCGCAGGAGGCCCUGUGGGCCCGCUCAUCUCAAAUUCUGCAGUGCGGGCUGUGCGGGAUCACAGCGCAUCCCAGCACCGGCUCCGAUCUUGUUGCCACGGGUGAGACGGGCCGGGCGGCAGCAUCCCACACAUUCAAAAGACUUGAGUGGCUGGUGGGGGGCUUGGAUUGCCUUCCACCAGCCACACACGAAGUCUAGAGUCUGGGAGAUGUCUUCUCCCCCAGCACGGUCUCCUUCUAGCGCCAUAAAGUGGGGAGCCCCUCUGUAGCUUUCUUUUCCACUAUGCCGUCUCUCUAUAGAAACAUAGCUAGAUAGAUGGAUAGAUGGAUAAAAACUUGUCAUGUUGAUGUGUAUAGAUCCAGGUUAUUCAUUUUAAUUACUAAAUAUAUUUCAUUAUGUGACUAUACUCCAUUUUAUUUAUUCAUGGCUAAAUGAAUGGAAAUUU